This 690-nucleotide ribosomal RNA is filed under the name Triticum aestivum (bread wheat). RNAcentral describes it as "partial small subunit ribosomal RNA". Lineage: Eukaryota; Viridiplantae; Streptophyta; Magnoliopsida; Poales; Poaceae. The record is from RNAcentral.
AUGAGAGUGACAACAUCGUUGCUCGAGUCCAAUUAUAGCUCCUUUACUGAAGUCUUUGGAGUAUUUCUUCGAGCAGAGAUUGAUACCACAAAGAAGAUCCAAAAAAAAGAUGUAUCUCGCUAUAAGCGAGCUAUAGACGGGCCCAAGGAGUCAGCGGAAAGCGAGACCCAACGAGACGUCUCUAAUAUCAGCCACGCUGCUCCUGUAAGGCUCUUGGCCCUAUUUAAACACGCACACAUCCCUGCUCCUCACUCCAGAGCAUACACUUCCAACCUUUCCAUCCAGUACUUCUUUUUACAAGGUUCACUUCACCGAGAGCUGCUCAUGAUGGAGGGGGGGAAGAAGAGGUUGGUGGCUGCUUCCGUCUGCGUGCUCGUCAUUCUGCUAUCGGUCCAGCAGCAGUCGGUGGCCGAGGACAUGUCGGGGUUCUGCCGGUGCUACCGCAAGUGCUACACGGCGUGCAGGCUCAAAAGCAACCGGGUGGUCUGCAAGAUUGCCUGCUACUUGGGGUGCACCGGCCAGAACGACCACGACGCCGGAUGCCGGAGGUUCUGUCAUCAGGCCUCGGUCUGCGACACGGCGGCCACCGGCGACGAUGCUAUUACUACCGAAGAAGCUGCGAUCUGUGUGGGGGAGUGCGCCACUUACCGGAGCCGCCGCGGCGGCAAGGCCGAAGCAAAGCACGGCUGA